Molecule: non-coding RNA, 73 nt
Organism: Myotis lucifugus (little brown bat)
Lineage: Eukaryota; Metazoa; Chordata; Mammalia; Chiroptera; Vespertilionidae
Source: Rfam
GCUGGUGUGGCUCAGUGGAAGAGCACUGGCCCAGGCACCAAAGGGUCACGGGUUCGAUUCCUGGUCAAGAGCA